AGGAAAUUGGCAGACAAGUGCGGGUGGCUUAGGACCAUCAUAUAUAGUUACUACUAUAUUUCCUA
Molecule: transfer RNA, 65 nt
Filed under: Leocrates chinensis
Lineage: Eukaryota; Metazoa; Annelida; Polychaeta; Phyllodocida; Hesionidae
Description: tRNA-Leu
Source: RNAcentral